UACGGAGGGUGCGAGCGUUGUCCGGAAUUACUGGGCGUAAAGCGCACGCAGGCGGUUCGCCAAGUUUGGAGUGACAGUUGUCGGCUCAACCGACAAAGGACUUCAAAAACUGGUGAACUUGAGGACGAGAGAGGAACAUGGAACUCCAGGUGUAGUAGUGAAAUGCGUAGAUAUCUGGAAGAACACCAAUGGCGAAGGCAAUGUUCUGGCUCGUUUCUGACGCUCAGGUGCGAAAGCCAGGGGAGCGAACGGG
Molecule: ribosomal RNA, 253 nt
Filed under: uncultured bacterium
Lineage: Bacteria
Description: partial 16S ribosomal RNA
Rfam family: Bacterial small subunit ribosomal RNA
Source: RNAcentral